This is a non-coding RNA of Ictidomys tridecemlineatus (thirteen-lined ground squirrel), 703 nucleotides long. The record is from RefSeq and is a predicted model, not a curated record. Lineage: Eukaryota; Metazoa; Chordata; Mammalia; Rodentia; Sciuridae.
AGGAGCAGGUGGGUCACACCGAGGACAGUGUGAACCAAGAGAAGACCUGAGAGGAGACAGACAGGUUUAGAAAGGAGAUGUGAGACUAGAGAAUAGAGGAGGCUGGCAUCUGAUUAGCAAAAAUGCCUCCUGCCAUGGAACCUGGAAUGCUAAAAGCCACCCUGUGGCAGUCUGCCAUGCAGGCCAAGCAUUCUUCCCCCUCAAUUCCCCAAUAGCUCAAGAUGAACUCCAACACCAGCAGUGUCCUUAUCUUCUCAGGAGACCUGCUGCCUCGCUCCACCAGUCACUGGAAAACAUGAUUCUGAGACUUUGGAAGCAAGUCUCGAUGUCACACUCCAAUUGUUUUUAGAGCAUCAAUCAUUCAAAAAGAAGAAAUUGGUGAUCCAGUGAGGGGAAGCCAGCUGCCAUCCUGUGAAGACAUUCAAAUGGCCUUGUGGAGAGAUACACGUGGCAAGCAACUAUGGCCUCCUGCGAGUGGUCCGCAUGGGGCAGCCAUGUAAGUGAGCUGCCUUGGAGCUUCAUCUUCACUCUUACUUCACCCCUCUAACUCAGGCCCCUGCCAACCCUUCAGACGACUGUGGCUCCUGACAACGUGUUGAGUCCUGCUGAACAAUGACCCUGGACCAGACCCAUCACCCAGCCAAGCUGCUUCUCAAACUCCCACUUGGUAAAAGAAUAAUAAAUGGUUAUUUUAAGCUGCCAA